This 253-nucleotide ribosomal RNA is filed under the name uncultured bacterium. RNAcentral's name for it is "partial 16S ribosomal RNA". It matches the Rfam family "Bacterial small subunit ribosomal RNA", at positions 524 to 776 of the family's 1533-position model. The record is from RNAcentral.
UACGGGGGGGGCAAGCGUUGUUCGGAAUUACUGGGCGUAAAGGGUUUGUAGGUGGCCCGCUAAGUCACACGUGAAAUCCCUCAGCUUAACUGGGGAACUGCGUGUGAGACUGGCAGGCUCGAGGGCAGGAGAGGAACGCGGAAUUCCAGGUGUAGCGGUGAAAUGCGUAGAUAUCAGGAGGAACACCGGUGGCGAAGGCGGCUUGCUGGGCCUUACCUGACGCUGAGGAGCGAAAGCGUGGGGAGCGAACAGG